GGAACAGCAGCAACUCUUUACAGAACUUUCUGGGAAGUGUUUACAAACGAAACAGAUCGCAGCUGACAUCUUAACCAUUCUGAGGCCUGCAAGUGAAUGACAGCUCACCUCCCUGCUGAAGGCUGGGGGGUUCUUUCUUCUUUCUGAAUGACCCUGGGAGGCAGGGAAAGGGAGGGAAGGACAGAGCUAAACAGGAGGGAAGUUAGCUUCGUAAAGAAUGAGGUGUCCAAAACCCUGGCAAAAUGCCUAUUUUUUUAUGCCUUCAGGUAAGAAAGCCAAGUGUUUUUACUGGAACUUGCUCUACAUUUCACACCCCUUUUUGCAAAUGUCUGCUAUAUAUGCUGAGCUGAGUGAGCUUCUGGACAGGAGUGACAAAAUUCUACAUAUAAAUGAUAUUAUACAGAAGAAAAAAGAAGUGGAGGACAAGUGACUGAAAAGGCAACCAGGCAGCAGCAAAGCCCCGGCUGAAGUCAUCUGUGCAGGACCGGACCAGCAGCGCGAAUUGGCCCCAGAGCCAGUUGCCACUCUCUGUUUUUCCCACGAGAUGUAGAUGGUGGGCAUCUCUCCUUGGUCUGUGGCAUUGAUGCAGCUCUCCACUCUGAACUCUGGCUGAGUGCCACGUGGAAAAGCCAGGACACCUCACCAAGGGAAAGGCUUGCCAGGUCUCCUGACUGAUAAGAGGAAAGUAAACAAUAUCCCUUUCGAAAGGAAGCUUGCUCUGACAAGGUUUUGGCCCACGUUCACUAAAC
Long non-coding RNA from Lagenorhynchus albirostris (white-beaked dolphin), 749 nucleotides. RefSeq lists it as uncharacterized. The transcript is spliced from 3 exons. Lineage: Eukaryota; Metazoa; Chordata; Mammalia; Artiodactyla; Delphinidae. The record is from RefSeq and is a predicted model, not a curated record.